AGUCUCACCCUGUUACCCAGACUGGAGUGAACUGGCACAAUCUCGGCUCACUGUCACCUCCACCUCCCAGGUUCAAGACAUUCUCCUGCCUCAGCCUCCUGAGUAGCUGGGAUUACAGAAGAGGAAAAUGAGCUGCAGAAGGAUCAAAUGACCUGCCUGAGGUGCCCUAUCUGUUGGCACAGGCCAGAGCACAUGGUGGAUGCAGGGGCACCCCCUUCCCUUCUCCUCCCCUCUGGCUCUUUGCUGACAGGAUUCUCUCUUGCCUUCUCUGAUUGUGCCUGUGCUACGUGCCACAUCCUUUCCCUCAAUGAAUUUCAGGCAGUGGAAGGGGCCGCAGAAGUUCCUUGACUCAUGAGGCGAGGCAUUCAGCGGCCUUGUGACACCUCCCGGGAUCUGCAGUCAUUGGGCUGCACUUGCCAAUAGCAACAUCUGGCAAAAAUAGCUAAGAAGCAGAGCGGCCUGGGCUCAGGAGCUGAGCAACCCGACUGGCCAGAUGGAGACUGUGUUGAGCUCUGCCCAAGCCCUGUGAUCCUGGAAAACAGUGAAGUUAAGGAGCCAUCUGCAUUCUAGGGAAUGGCCCACUGCAAAAAAUACCCUUCCUUAUAGGACGUAGAGGACUCAUGAUGUCCCCUCAUUUAUGAUGAGCCAAGACACAGCCCUUCCAAAUUCCAAUUCUUUGCUUCAUAACUGAUUAACUGUUUUGUUCCCACUGGUCAAUCAGAACAACAUUCUCGCUAACCAGAUUUUGGUUCAGCUCUUCUCCCUCCCCAUGUCCCUGCCCCGUGUCCUAUCCUCAUCCUGAGCCAGCACACACCCCUCCUUAGUAGCUCCUCCUGCAGCAGGCUGACCUCAGACUCUCCCUGAUCCAUUGUCCAAAUAUAUCACCCUUUCACCCUACAUCCUUACACCCCAUUCUUUCUAGUUUUGUUCAUUCCUCCCUGUGAAAGAUGAACCCUCUUUGUCUAAUCCCGGACCUGCUUGCAGACUGCUAUGAUGGCCAGAGUGUCCCCCCUACUGCAAGAGUCCCUUCUGUCCCUUGCAACAUCUUUUAAAUAAAAUCUCUCUUUACC
Long non-coding RNA from Gorilla gorilla gorilla (western lowland gorilla), 1070 nucleotides. RefSeq lists it as uncharacterized. NCBI's taxonomy places the organism in Eukaryota, Metazoa, Chordata, Mammalia, Primates, Hominidae. The transcript is spliced from 3 exons. The record is from RefSeq and is a predicted model, not a curated record.